This 468-nucleotide ribosomal RNA is filed under the name uncultured bacterium. Its description in RNAcentral is "partial 16S ribosomal RNA". It matches the Rfam family "Bacterial small subunit ribosomal RNA", at positions 28 to 507 of the family's 1533-position model. The record is from RNAcentral.
GACGAACGCUGGCGGCGUGCUUAACACAUGCAAGUCGAACGGAAAGGCCCUGCUUUUGUGGGGUGCUCGAGUGGCGAACGGGUGAGUAACACGUGAGUAACCUGGCCUUGACUUUGGGAUAACUUCAGGAAACUGGGGCUAAUACCGGAUAGGUGCUCCUGCUGCAUGGUGGGGGUUGGAAAGUUUCGGCGGUUGGGGAUGGACUCGCGGCUUAUCAGCUUGUUGGUGGGGUAGUGGCUUACCAAGGCUUUGACGGGUAGCCGGCCUGAGAGGGUGACCGGCCACAUUGGGACUGAGAUACGGCCCAGACUCCUACGGGAGGCAGCAGUGGGGAAUAUUGCACAAUGGGCGGAAGCCUGAUGCAGCAACGCCGCGUGCGGGAUGACGGCCUUCGGGUUGUAAACCGCUUUCGCCUGUGACGAAGCGUGAGUGACGGUAAUGGGUAAAGAAGCACCGGCUAACUACGUG